UUCAUUAUUUAUUGGCAUAUUCAGUAUUUCAAGAGAAACUGUGUCUGAUUUUUCAACUUGAUGCAUGUAUUAUGGUCUUAUAGUUUUUUAGUCACCAAAGUGGCCAAACUAAAAUUUAUAAAAUUAUUCAUAUACCCAAAAUUUUAUUAUAUUAUGUAUGCAUUUGUACUUAUAUAGUUUGUUAGUCACCAAAGUGGCCAAACUAGAUAAAUUAACGCCUACACAUAUCAUGCUUUUGAUCACUUGAUGCAUGUAUUAUGUUUCUAUAGUUUGUUAGUCACCAAAGUGGCCAAACUAAAAUGUAUAAAAUUAUUCACAUGCACAAAAUUUUAUGAUAUUAUGUGUGCAUUUGUAUUUAUAUAGUUUGCUAGUCACCAAAGUGGUCAAACUAGUAUGAUUAAGAAGAAUGUGCAUUCAUAAAAUUGUCAUUUAUCUAUGAAGGUUAAUUAAAUGCCUAUAUAUUGAAAAAUAAAUAGAUAAAUUGACUUUCACUAUUGGUAGAACUUAAGAAUUUACCCAAAGGUGAAUCAAUCAUUCUACGAAUAGUGAAAAUUAUGAGGUAAAUUAAUCUUUUUAGUCAAACAUAUAUUGUAUAUCCAAAGAUGUCGUAUAUGUUUGAUUAAAAAUAUUCAAUUACCUAUUAAAGAUAAAAUUGGCAUUUAAAUUAUGAUAAUGUGUCGUAAUAUCUACCCAAAGGAGAAUUACGAUAUAUUUUUAUCGCUUUACUGAAUUCACAUUAUUUUCUGAUUUGUGAGCAUGUAUAUCUAUUUUGCAGUUAUUCCUCUUCAUUCGCAUGCUUCGUCUGUUACUGUGUUCAAUGGAUUGAACUU
RNAcentral lists this long non-coding RNA (830 nucleotides) under Solanum tuberosum (potato). Its description in RNAcentral is "long non-coding RNA (STUB_LNC005870)". The record is from RNAcentral. Lineage: Eukaryota; Viridiplantae; Streptophyta; Magnoliopsida; Solanales; Solanaceae.